GACAAAUUUCCUCCGAACCCCUCCAACGGUCGACCUUCCACAGUGUUCUCCAAACUUCUCCAGCGGACGAACUUCCACAAUGCCUUCCAAACUCUUCUAUCGAUCAAUCUUCUAUAGCGCCUUUCGAAUUCCGCUAUUGGUCGACCUUCUGUCAGAUUUCUCAUGCAACCAGACAUCUCCAACGGACAGUCUUCAGACAAGCUUCUAUAUCAGAUAAAU
This 219-nucleotide long non-coding RNA is filed under the name Elaeis guineensis (African oil palm). Its description in RNAcentral is "long non-coding RNA (EGUI_LNC056059)". The record is from RNAcentral. Lineage: Eukaryota; Viridiplantae; Streptophyta; Magnoliopsida; Arecales; Arecaceae.